GGAAAUUCACAAAGAUGUAACAGCCACAACUCUUACUGAACUGGAUGAGGAUCAACCAUGCAAUAUGGAUGGUGAAGAGGAUGGGAUGAACUAUGUGGCGCUAAAU
Long non-coding RNA from Fundulus heteroclitus (mummichog), 106 nucleotides. RefSeq lists it as uncharacterized. The record is from RefSeq and is a predicted model, not a curated record. The transcript has 3 exons. Lineage: Eukaryota; Metazoa; Chordata; Actinopteri; Cyprinodontiformes; Fundulidae.